CGUCUGUACAUAAUGAGGAUGAGAACCUCCGAAGGAGGUUUGAGCCGAGCGAAGCGAGACAACGUUGCUUCAGCAACGGCCCGCAGGGCGGCUCGAAGAGCCGUAAUCCUACUCGCUACCA
This 121-nucleotide small RNA is filed under the name Erwinia sp. 1181_3. Its description in RNAcentral is "RtT sRNA". It matches the Rfam family "RtT RNA". From Rfam's summary of the family: This family represents a bacterial cis-regulatory element known as RtT RNA. The exact function of RtT is unknown although it is thought that it may be involved in changing the cellular response in relation to amino acid starvation. RNAcentral also lists the same sequence under 2 other names. The record is from RNAcentral. Lineage: Bacteria; Pseudomonadati; Pseudomonadota; Gammaproteobacteria; Enterobacterales; Erwiniaceae.